UACGGAGGGGGCAAGCGUUAUUCGGAAUCAUUGGGCGUAAAGAGCGCGUAGGCGGCCUGGCAAGUCUGGCGUGAAAUCUCCACUGCUCAACAGGGAGAAGCCGCUGGAAACUGCCGGGCUUGAGGUCCGGAGAGGCCGGUGGAAUUCCCGGUGUAGCGGUGGAAUGCGUAGAGAUCGGGAAGAACACCAGUGGCGAAGGCGGCCGGCUGGACGGCACCUGACGCUGAGGCGCGAAAGCGUGGGGAGCGAACGGGAUUAGAUACCCGCGUA
This 270-nucleotide ribosomal RNA is filed under the name uncultured prokaryote. RNAcentral's name for it is "partial 16S ribosomal RNA". It matches the Rfam family "Bacterial small subunit ribosomal RNA", at positions 524 to 792 of the family's 1533-position model. The record is from RNAcentral.